This 399-nucleotide ribosomal RNA is filed under the name uncultured bacterium. RNAcentral describes it as "bacterial SSU rRNA". It matches the Rfam family "Bacterial small subunit ribosomal RNA", at positions 30 to 430 of the family's 1533-position model. The record is from RNAcentral.
AUUGAACGCUGGCGGCAUGCCUUACACAUGCAAGUCGAACGGCAGCACGGGAGCUUGCUCCUGGUGGCGAGUGGCGAACGGGUGAGUAAUGCAUCGGAACGUGCCCUGAAGUGGGGGAUAACGUAGCGAAAGUUACGCUAAUACCGCAUAUUCUGUGAGCAGGAAAGCAGGGGAUCGCAAGACCUUGCGCUCUGGGAGCGGCCGAUGUCGGAUUAGCUAGUUGGUGGGUAAAGGCCUACCAAGGCGUCGAUCCGUAGCGGGUCUGAGAGGAUGAUCCGCCACACUGGGACUGAGACACGGCCCAGACUCCUACGGGAGGCAGCAGUGGGGAAUUUUGGACAAUGGGCGCAAGCCUGAUCCAGCCAUGCCGCGUGCGGGAAGAAGGCCUCGGUUGUAACG